GGGGUGUAUAGCUCGUAGUAAAACAUUCGAUUGCAGAUCGGGAGGCCCCCGGUUCAAACCCGGGUACCCCUU
Non-coding RNA from Trichonephila inaurata madagascariensis, 72 nucleotides. The record is from the annotation of a GenBank genome assembly. NCBI's taxonomy places the organism in Eukaryota, Metazoa, Arthropoda, Arachnida, Araneae, Nephilidae.